ACCUUAGAGACCAACUAAGUUUGUUAUUGGUAUGAGCUUUCGUGUGCAUGCACACUUCUUCAGAUACAUCGUGCAUGCACAAUUCAUGCAAGUACACAAAAGCUCAUACCAAUAACAAACUUAGUUGGUCUCUAAGGU
Podarcis lilfordi (Lilford's wall lizard) is the source of this 138-nucleotide non-coding RNA. The record is from the annotation of a GenBank genome assembly. NCBI's taxonomy places the organism in Eukaryota, Metazoa, Chordata, Lepidosauria, Squamata, Lacertidae.